RNA transcript from Brassica oleracea var. oleracea, 898 nucleotides. RefSeq lists it as uncharacterized. NCBI's taxonomy places the organism in Eukaryota, Viridiplantae, Streptophyta, Magnoliopsida, Brassicales, Brassicaceae. The record is from RefSeq and is a predicted model, not a curated record. The transcript is spliced from 2 exons.
AGUCUCUUAGCCUAAUUAAAAUUAGGAAAAAAAAAGAAAAAAAACUAAUUAAAGAAGAAACGGUUCUUCUGUCUCCUAAAUAGGAGACGUCUUUUGGAGCUUCUCCUUCUCCUCUUCUCUCUGCAACAACAACAAAGUUGUCUUCACAUUAUCUGAAAUCAAAGCCACAUAAACAAAGAUGUUUACAUACUCGACUAAAAGGAGGAACCCCUCGCGCUCUGGCUCUCUUCUUUCUUCUGGUUGAUUUAACAUCUGUCUUCCUUUUGUUUUUCUUAUCUGAUUUACCUUUUUAUUUUAGGUUUGGGUGUGUGUUUUGUCGAGAGUAUGUGCGACGAAAUCAUGAACACAUCUCUGAAACAAGGAUCGAAGAUCAAACCCAAAUUAGCCAAUCGUCGUAUUGCCACCAGUUUGUUAAGAGUUCACUUGAUUGUGGAUUAAUCUGCUCUGGAUUAAGUCAGGUGCCACUGGCUGUACAUUGCGUUGCAGAGUUAUCUGUUCCCUCAGUCAUAGUAGUUAUCCAGUGGAAGGAGAUCUUUAUAGAUGUAUACAUGAACCAAGAGCUGCAAAAACAAAGGGGCAGGGGAUAUGGGCUUAACUGGAUGGAAACUAGGACUGUCAUAAAGCCGCAUGAAGCUGUUUGCUGAAAAUAUCAAGAGCAUGAAUCCUUGACUUUAGCUUCAGGUCACGCUGCUACAAAGGAGAUGUUCCACUUUCUGAGACCACCCGAGUGUUCUAUCUUCAAGGAGAGGAAGGGGCAAGAACUUGAACUUCACAACAAAAUUCAUCACUUUCCUGGUAGUUAUUCAUCACUUUCAAAGUUCUCUAUAUAGGUGUUUAUUCAGCUUGGUCAUUUUAUAGACAAAAUCAUUCACUCAUCAAACAAAUCUUUUCUUCUCUC